Molecule: long non-coding RNA, 1013 nt
Filed under: Drosophila guanche
Lineage: Eukaryota; Metazoa; Arthropoda; Insecta; Diptera; Drosophilidae
Source: RNAcentral
UAGACAGAAACCGACCAACUCAGUAUCAUUUGGGUUGAAUGCCUUUUAUUUGUCACAAAUUUCCGAAAUAUUCGAAAGACAGUAGACGGGAUUUUCAAUAUAAAAAUAACGACUUUCUCUCUCGCUUAGAAAAUCAGCGCAAUAUAAUUAUGAUGCACUCAGAACUGAAUCUGAAAUUAGGUAAGAAUAAAAGAUAAACUAAUUAUGAUUAUUAUUAUACUGUUUAUGCUUGUUUAGGGACCCAACUCAUUAAUGAUCCAAUCGAUGAUGAGGGAAUGAUAAAGGCUGAACCGGAGCCAAUUGAUGAUGGCCAUGAGGCGGAUGACGAAAAUGAUUCUGGAGGUGAUUCUGAAGAUGAGCUUGAAGUGGACGAAUCUGACGAUGAGUUCAAAGAACGGGAGAAGGAGGAAGAUAGUGACGAGAUGGAUAUUGACAACCUAAGUCGCUCACUUAGUUUUUCCAAUUAUUUUUAAUGUUUCGAUCAAUGAUGCAUAUUUAUAGAUAGCAAUUGAUAAUCGUUUAAUUAUCGUUUAACACAUUACAUUUCUACAUUUCUGAAAGCAGCCGAGAAACUUAAAUUAUCGUUAAUUUUUGAGCAACUUGAUUCGAAAUUUAAACAAUCUGUAAGCCAAAAUUCCAAGUUUCACAACAAUGUAAGCAUACAUUUUUGGUUAAUAGCAAUGUAUAACUUCCCUAAUUCUACAAUAGGUUCCUAAUCCUCCCAAUGUGACACGUGCCAUGCAGCAGGCCAGCUCGGUCGAUCGCAUUGUUUUCCACUUCUACAACGCCAGAUCACAUUUCGGAGAAGAAACAAGAUCUCACCGUUCUGGAUUGUGAGACCACACCAACUGCCAUGGCAUGCUCGUGAAUCGUAGCGAUGAAACCAGCUGGAAUUUCCCCCUAACUUGCAUUUCUUCCCAGUAAAAUGUGGACCACACACGAAAAGAAAGCUCCUCCCUCUGCACAUAAAUAUAAGACGAAAUAAGAAAUACAAAAAAUACAAAAACACAAAA